This 1550-nucleotide ribosomal RNA is filed under the name Klebsiella pneumoniae. Its description in RNAcentral is "bacterial SSU rRNA". It matches the Rfam family "Bacterial small subunit ribosomal RNA". The record is from RNAcentral. Lineage: Bacteria; Pseudomonadati; Pseudomonadota; Gammaproteobacteria; Enterobacterales; Enterobacteriaceae.
AAAUUGAAGAGUUUGAUCAUGGCUCAGAUUGAACGCUGGCGGCAGGCCUAACACAUGCAAGUCGAGCGGUAGCACAGAGAGCUUGCUCUCGGGUGACGAGCGGCGGACGGGUGAGUAAUGUCUGGGAAACUGCCUGAUGGAGGGGGAUAACUACUGGAAACGGUAGCUAAUACCGCAUAAUGUCGCAAGACCAAAGUGGGGGACCUUCGGGCCUCAUGCCAUCAGAUGUGCCCAGAUGGGAUUAGCUAGUAGGUGGGGUAACAGCUCACCUAGGCGACGAUCCCUAGCUGGUCUGAGAGGAUGACCAGCCACACUGGAACUGAGACACGGUCCAGACUCCUACGGGAGGCAGCAGUGGGGAAUAUUGCACAAUGGGCGCAAGCCUGAUGCAGCCAUGCCGCGUGUGUGAAGAAGGCCUUCGGGUUGUAAAGCACUUUCAGCGGGGAGGAAGGCGUUAAGGUUAAUAACCUUGGCGAUUGACGUUACCCGCAGAAGAAGCACCGGCUAACUCCGUGCCAGCAGCCGCGGUAAUACGGAGGGUGCAAGCGUUAAUCGGAAUUACUGGGCGUAAAGCGCACGCAGGCGGUCUGUCAAGUCGGAUGUGAAAUCCCCGGGCUCAACCUGGGAACUGCAUUCGAAACUGGCAGGCUAGAGUCUUGUAGAGGGGGGUAGAAUUCCAGGUGUAGCGGUGAAAUGCGUAGAGAUCUGGAGGAAUACCGGUGGCGAAGGCGGCCCCCUGGACAAAGACUGACGCUCAGGUGCGAAAGCGUGGGGAGCAAACAGGAUUAGAUACCCUGGUAGUCCACGCCGUAAACGAUGUCGAUUUGGAGGUUGUGCCCUUGAGGCGUGGCUUCCGGAGCUAACGCGUUAAAUCGACCGCCUGGGGAGUACGGCCGCAAGGUUAAAACUCAAAUGAAUUGACGGGGGCCCGCACAAGCGGUGGAGCAUGUGGUUUAAUUCGAUGCAACGCGAAGAACCUUACCUGGUCUUGACAUCCACAGAACUUUCCAGAGAUGGAUUGGUGCCUUCGGGAACUGUGAGACAGGUGCUGCAUGGCUGUCGUCAGCUCGUGUUGUGAAAUGUUGGGUUAAGUCCCGCAACGAGCGCAACCCUUAUCCUUUGUUGCCAGCGGUCCGGCCGGGAACUCAAAGGAGACUGCCAGUGAUAAACUGGAGGAAGGUGGGGAUGACGUCAAGUCAUCAUGGCCCUUACGACCAGGGCUACACACGUGCUACAAUGGCAUAUACAAAGAGAAGCGACCUCGCGAGAGCAAGCGGACCUCAUAAAGUAUGUCGUAGUCCGGAUUGGAGUCUGCAACUCGACUCCAUGAAGUCGGAAUCGCUAGUAAUCGUAGAUCAGAAUGCUACGGUGAAUACGUUCCCGGGCCUUGUACACACCGCCCGUCACACCAUGGGAGUGGGUUGCAAAAGAAGUAGGUAGCUUAACCUUCGGGAGGGCGCUUACCACUUUGUGAUUCAUGACUGGGGUGAAGUCGUAACAAGGUAACCGUAGGGGAACCUGCGGUUGGAUCACCUCCUUACCUUAAAGAA